GUCUUGAAACACGGACCAAGGAGCCUAUCAUAUACGCGAGUCGCUCGGUCUUGUACAGGCCAGAGAGGCGAAAUGAAAGUAAAGCUACGAGAUUUCGGUCGCAGUAGCGGCUCGCCUACUUUGUUUAUUGGCAAUCAGGCGAAGCUGGAGGGUAUACGAUGGUACCCGAAAGAUGGUGAACUAUGCCUGGGCAAGACGAAGCCAGAGGAAACUCUGGUGGAGGUCUGUAGCGAUUCUGACGUGCAAAUCGAU
This 252-nucleotide ribosomal RNA is filed under the name Dermatophagoides farinae (American house dust mite). Its description in RNAcentral is "partial 28S ribosomal RNA". It matches the Rfam family "Eukaryotic large subunit ribosomal RNA", at positions 651 to 902 of the family's 3401-position model. Lineage: Eukaryota; Metazoa; Arthropoda; Arachnida; Sarcoptiformes; Pyroglyphidae. The record is from RNAcentral.